Molecule: ribosomal RNA, 292 nt
Filed under: uncultured bacterium
Lineage: Bacteria
Description: partial 16S ribosomal RNA
Rfam family: Bacterial small subunit ribosomal RNA
Source: RNAcentral
GUGCCAGCAGCCGCGGUAAUACGUAGGGUGCGAGCGUUAAUCGGAAUUACUGGGCGUAAAGCGUGCGCAGGCGGUUAUAUAAGACAGAUGUGAAAUCCCCGGGCUUAACCUGGGAACUGCGUUUGUGACUGUAUAACUCGAGUGUGGCAGAGGGGGGUGGAAUUCCACGUGUAGCAGUGAAAUGCGUAGAGAUGUGGAGGAACACCGAUGGCGAAGGCAGCCCCCUGGGUCAACACUGACGCUCAUGCACGAAAGCGUGGGGAGCAAACAGGAUUAGAUACCCUCGUAGUCC